RNAcentral lists this ribosomal RNA (253 nucleotides) under uncultured bacterium. RNAcentral's name for it is "partial 16S ribosomal RNA". It matches the Rfam family "Bacterial small subunit ribosomal RNA", at positions 524 to 776 of the family's 1533-position model. The record is from RNAcentral.
UACGUAGGGUGCAAGCGUUAAUCGGAAUUACUGGGCGUAAAGCGUGCGCAGGCGGUUUUGUAAGACCGAUGUGAAAUCCCCGGGCUUAACCUGGGAACUGCAUUGGUGACUGCAAGGCUAGAGUGUGUCAGAGGGAGGUGGAAUUCCGCGUGUAGCAGUGAAAUGCGUAGAGAUGCGGAGGAACACCGAUGGCGAAGGCAGCCUCCUGGGAUAACACUGACGCUCAUGCACGAAAGCGUGGGGAGCGAUCCGG